CACCGGCGGCUCGAGUGGUGGCCACUUUUAUUGGGUCUAAAGCGUCCGUAGCCGGCUUGGCAAGUCCCCUGUGAAAUCUGGCGGCUUAACCGUCAGGCGUCCAGAGGAUACUGCCAGGCUUGGGACCGGGAGAGGUGAGAGGUACCUCAGGGGUAGGGGUGAAAUCUUGUGAUCCCUGAGGGACCACCAGUGGCGAAGGCGUCUCACUAGAACGGGUCCGACGGUCAGGGACGAAAGCUGGGGGCACGAACCGG
RNAcentral lists this ribosomal RNA (254 nucleotides) under uncultured microorganism. RNAcentral describes it as "partial 16S ribosomal RNA". It matches the Rfam family "Archaeal small subunit ribosomal RNA", at positions 474 to 727 of the family's 1478-position model. The record is from RNAcentral.